AGAGUUUGAUCCUGGCUCAGGAUGAACGUUGGCGGUGUGCCUAAUACAUGCAAGUCGAACGAAGUUGAUAGCGAUAUUAGCUUAGUGGCGAACGGGUGAGUAACGCGUUGGUGAUCUGCCUUGAAGUGUGGAAUAACGUUUCGAAAGGAACGCUAAUACCGCAUGUGCUCUCGAUUUUCAGAAAGUUGAGAGUAAAGGAUUUAUUCGCUUCAAGAGGAGCCUGCGUCCCAUCAGCUGGUUGGUAGGGUAACGGCCUACCAAGGCUAUGACGGGUAGGGGACCUGAGAGGGUGGCCCCCCACAAUGGAACUGAAACACGGUCCAUACACCUACGGGUGGCAGCAGUAGGGAAUAUUAGAAAUGGACGAAAGUCUGAUCUAGCAACACCGCGUGUGCGAAGAAGGCCUUCGGGUCGUAAAGCACUUUUUGGAAGGAAUAGGAAGGAAUGUACUUCCAGAAUAAGUCUCGGCUAACUACGUGCCAGCAGCCGCGGUAAUA
Molecule: ribosomal RNA, 497 nt
Filed under: uncultured bacterium
Lineage: Bacteria
Description: bacterial SSU rRNA
Rfam family: Bacterial small subunit ribosomal RNA
Source: RNAcentral